GACGAACGCUGGCGGCGUGCUUAACACAUGCAAGUCGAACGGAAAGGCCCUGCUUGCAGGGUGCUCGAGUGGCGAACGGGUGAGUAACACGUGGGUGAUCUGCCCCUUACUUUGGGAUAAGCCUGGGAAACUGGGUCUAAUACUGGAUAGGACCAUGCUGUAGGUGGUGUGGUGGAAAGAUUAGUUUCGGUAAGGGAUGAGCUCGCGGCCUAUCAGCUUGUUGGUGGGGUAAUGGCCUACCAAGGCGUCGACGGGUAGCCGGCCUGAGAGGGUGGACGGCCACAUUGGGACUGAGAUACGGCCCAGACUCCUACGGGAGGCAGCAGGGGGGAAUAUUGCACAAUGGGCGCAAGCCUGAUGCAGCGACGCCGCGUGGGGGAUGACGGCCUUCGGGUUGUAAACUCCUUUCAGCCAUGACGAAGCCUUCGGGUGACGGUAGUGGUAGAAGAAGCACCGGCUAACUACGUG
This 468-nucleotide ribosomal RNA is filed under the name uncultured bacterium. Its description in RNAcentral is "partial 16S ribosomal RNA". It matches the Rfam family "Bacterial small subunit ribosomal RNA", at positions 28 to 507 of the family's 1533-position model. The record is from RNAcentral.